CGUAUUUAUUUGUUUUAUUCGUUAAUUAUGUACAUGUUGAAUUGAUUGUAACGUAUUCACUUUUCUUAUGUAGGCGUGUUCCUGGUCAGAUUGUAGUAGCUCAUUUACACGUAAAGAUUCCUUACUUCGUCAUAUCAAAACAGUUCACAAAAAUGAACGUGAUUAUGUGUGUGACCGACCAAAAUGUGGACGCUCCUUUACCACUCGCUAUCACCUCCGCCGGCAUAUCCUUUGUACACACUAGAAAGAACGUAAUUUUACUUGCAAUCAAUGUAGCAAAGCUUUUGG
Molecule: long non-coding RNA, 288 nt
Organism: Planococcus citri (citrus mealybug)
Lineage: Eukaryota; Metazoa; Arthropoda; Insecta; Hemiptera; Pseudococcidae
Exons: 3
Source: RefSeq, a predicted model, not a curated record